AUUCUGGUUGAUCCUACCAGUAAUAUACGCUCGUCUCAAAGGUUAAACCAUGCAUGUCUAAGUACAAACUACAAUAAAGUGAAACCGCAAAAGGCUC
This 97-nucleotide non-coding RNA is filed under the name Clunio marinus. Its description in RNAcentral is "Eukaryotic small subunit ribosomal RNA". It matches the Rfam family "Eukaryotic small subunit ribosomal RNA", at positions 1 to 99 of the family's 1831-position model. Lineage: Eukaryota; Metazoa; Arthropoda; Insecta; Diptera; Chironomidae. The record is from Rfam by way of RNAcentral.